Molecule: ribosomal RNA, 393 nt
Filed under: uncultured bacterium
Lineage: Bacteria
Description: partial 16S ribosomal RNA
Rfam family: Bacterial small subunit ribosomal RNA
Source: RNAcentral
AUACGGAGGAUCCGAGCGUUAUCCGGAUUUAUUGGGUUUAAAGGGAGCGUAGGCGGACGCUUAAGUCAGUUGUGAAAGUUUGCGGCUCAACCGUAAAAUUGCAGUUGAUACUGGGUGUCUUGAGUACAGUAGAGGCAGGCGGAAUUCGUGGUGUAGCGGUGAAAUGCUUAGAUAUCACGAAGAACUCCGAUUGCGAAGACAGCCUGCUGGACUGUAACUGACGCUGAUGCUCGAAAGUGUGGGUAUCAAACAGGAUUAGAUACCCUGGUAGUCCACACAGUAAACGAUGAAUACUCGCUGUUUGCGAUAUACAGUAAGCGGCUUAGCGAAAGCGUUAAGUAAUCCACCUGGGGAGUACGCCGGCAACGGUGAAACUCAAAUGAAUUGACGGGG